Molecule: transfer RNA, 70 nt
Filed under: bovine gut metagenome
Rfam family: tRNA
About the family: Transfer RNA (tRNA) molecules are approximately 80 nucleotides in length.
Source: RNAcentral
GGUCUUAGCUCAGCUGGGAGAGCAUCUGCCUUACAAGCAGAGGGUCACAGGUUCGAGUCCUGUAGGCCCC